This 70-nucleotide transfer RNA is filed under the name Heterocephalus glaber (naked mole-rat). It matches the Rfam family "tRNA". From Rfam's summary of the family: Transfer RNA (tRNA) molecules are approximately 80 nucleotides in length. The record is from Rfam by way of RNAcentral. Lineage: Eukaryota; Metazoa; Chordata; Mammalia; Rodentia; Bathyergidae.
GCAUGUAGCUAAGUGGCAGAGCAAUUGCCUAUCAUGCUAUGAGGCUCUGGGUUCAAUCCCUAGCACUGCA